GCCAACGUGACGCAAUGAUAGCGUAGUUGUUUUGUAAGCAACAUGUUGCAGGUUUGAAUCCUGUCGUUGGCUCCA
RNAcentral lists this transfer RNA (75 nucleotides) under Caudoviricetes sp. Its description in RNAcentral is "tRNA-Thr". It matches the Rfam family "tRNA". From Rfam's summary of the family: Transfer RNA (tRNA) molecules are approximately 80 nucleotides in length. Their secondary structure includes four short double-helical elements and three loops (D, anti-codon, and T loops). The record is from RNAcentral. Lineage: Duplodnaviria; Heunggongvirae; Uroviricota; Caudoviricetes.